GAUGAACGCUGGCGGCGUGCUUAACACAUGCAAGUCGAACGGAAAGGCCCAAGCUUGCUUGGGUACUCGAGUGGCGAACGGGUGAGUAACACGUGGGUGAUCUGCCCUGCACUUCGGGAUAAGCCUGGGAAACUGGGUCUAAUACCGGAUAGGACCACUUCUUGGAUGUUGUGGUGGAAAGUUUUUUCGGUGUGGGAUGAGCUCGCGGCCUAUCAGCUUGUUGGUGGGGUAAUGGCCUACCAAGGCGUCGACGGGUAGCCGGCCUGAGAGGGUGUACGGCCACAUUGGGACUGAGAUACGGCCCAGACGCCUACGGGAGGCAGCAGUGGGGAAUAUUGCACAAUGGGCGCAAGCCUGAUGCAGCGACGCCGCGUGGGGGAUGACGGCCUUCGGGUUGUAAACUCCUUUCGCUAGGGACGAAGCGUUUUUGUGACGGUACCUGGAGAAGAAGCACCGGCUAACUACGUG
This 468-nucleotide ribosomal RNA is filed under the name uncultured bacterium. RNAcentral's name for it is "partial 16S ribosomal RNA". It matches the Rfam family "Bacterial small subunit ribosomal RNA", at positions 28 to 507 of the family's 1533-position model. The record is from RNAcentral.